Molecule: ribosomal RNA, 433 nt
Filed under: uncultured bacterium
Lineage: Bacteria
Description: partial 16S ribosomal RNA
Rfam family: Bacterial small subunit ribosomal RNA
Source: RNAcentral
AACGAACGCUGGCGGCAUGCCUAACACAUGCAAGUCGAACGAGAACUUCGGGUCUAUUGGCGCACGGGUGCGUACCGCGUGGUAACCUGCCCUUAGGUUCGGAAUAACUCCCCUAAAGGGGUGCUAAUACCGCAUCAUGUCUUCGGACCAAAGAUUUAUCGCCUUUGGAUGGGCCCGCGUUGGUUUCGCUAGUUGGUAGGGUAAAAGCCUACCAAGGCGACGAUCCAUAGCUGGUCUGAGAGCAUGAUCAGCCACACUGGGACUGCGACACGGCCCAGACUCGUACGGAAGGCAGCAGUGGGGAAUAUUGGACAAGGGGCGAAAGCGUGAUCCAGCAAUGCCGCGUGAGUCAUGAAGGCCUUAGGGUUGUAAAGCUCUUUUACCCGGGAUGAUAAUGACGGUAACGGGAGAAUAAGCUCCGGCUAACUCCGUG